This 497-nucleotide ribosomal RNA is filed under the name uncultured bacterium. RNAcentral's name for it is "partial 16S ribosomal RNA". It matches the Rfam family "Bacterial small subunit ribosomal RNA", at positions 28 to 507 of the family's 1533-position model. The record is from RNAcentral.
GAUGAACGCUGGCGGCGUGCCUAAUACAUGCAAGUCCAGCGAACAGAUGAGGAGCUUGCUCCUCUGACGUUAGCGGCGGACGGGUGAGUAACACGUGGAUAACCUACCUAUAAGACUGGGAUAACUUCGGGAAACCGGAGCUAAUACCGGAUAAUAUAUUGAACCGCAUGGUUCAAUAGUGAAAGACGGUUCUGCUGUCACUUAUAGAUGGAUCCGCGCCGCAUUAGCUAGUUGGUAAGGUAACGGCUUACCAAGGCAACGAUGCGUAGCCGACCUGAGAGGGUGAUCGGCCACACUGGAACUGAGACACGGUCCAGACUCCUACGGGAGGCAGCAGUAGGGAAUCUUCCGCAAUGGGCGAAAGCCUGACGGAGCAACGCCGCGUGAGUGAUGAAGGUCUUCGGAUCGUAAAACUCUGUUAUUAGGGAAGAACAAAUGUGUAAGUAACUAUGCACGUCUUGACGGUACCUAAUCAGAAAGCCACGGCUAACUACGUG